This 954-nucleotide ribosomal RNA is filed under the name Triticum aestivum (bread wheat). RNAcentral describes it as "partial small subunit ribosomal RNA". The record is from RNAcentral. Lineage: Eukaryota; Viridiplantae; Streptophyta; Magnoliopsida; Poales; Poaceae.
AUGCGACUAGCCGCCAUGGAGACCUCCCCUCACCUAAAGCUUGUCUCGCUCGCUCUCCUGCUAGCCUCGUUUCCCUUUCCCCGGGCCAUGGCAGCGCCACCCCCAUCCCUCCUGGAAGAACAGGCAGGAGCCCUCCUCGCCUGGAAAGCCACCAUCCAAAGCCCCCCAACCCAGCUCCAAUCCUGGGGAAACACCACGACACGGCCAUGCGGCUGGUACGGCAUCAGUUGUGGCGAGCAUCCAGCAAGCAUCACCGAGAUCUUUCUGCGGGGGUUGCGGCUGAGAGCGGAGCUGGAGGCCCUCAACUUCACGGCGUUGCAUACUCUCACGAGUAUCCGACUCCCCUACAAUCAGAUAAGAGGCCCCUUUCCACCCGCUUUAGCAUCAUCCUUGCCAAACCUCCGCCACCUCCUGCUCCAUGGGAAUGCACUCUCCGGUCAAAUACCGAGACAAAUAAAACACCUAGAGAGUCUUGUUGGGUUGGACUUGUCAAACAACCACUUGUCUGGUCCUAUACCCAUUGAACUAGGCUACCUAAACAAGUUGAAAAUGUUAGAUCUUUCCACCAACAACCUCACAGGCCCCAUUCCAACAAGUCUAGGGAAUUGCACUAAGCUCACCAUCUUGUACCUUGAUGAUAAUCAGUUAUCUGGACAUAUUCCUCAAGAACUAGGUUACAUCGUGAAACUACACGAGUUAGCACUUAGCAGCAACAAACUCAUGGGUUCCAUCCCCAAUACCUUUGGGAGUUUGAUUAACAUCACUCGAUUGUACCUAUGGGAUAACCAACUAUCCGGACAUGUUCCUCCAGAACUAAGUUCCUUGGUGAAUCUGGAAGACUUGGAACUUGCCAAAAACAGACUCACGGGUUCCAUCCCCGGUUCCUUUGGAAAUUUGACCAAGCUCACUACCUUGUAUCUUCAUCGUAACCAAUUCUCUGGACAUGUUCCUUGA